RNAcentral lists this long non-coding RNA (1097 nucleotides) under Equus asinus (donkey). Its description in RNAcentral is "lncRNA (ENSEASG00005032382.1)". The record is from RNAcentral. Lineage: Eukaryota; Metazoa; Chordata; Mammalia; Perissodactyla; Equidae.
CCAUCUCCUGUCCCUUGUUGGCUACAGGUUUCCCUGAGGGCAUUAAACCUCUGGCACAGCCAGGCAGCCUUGUGUGUGGGCUGAGCAAGCUUCGCCAGUGCUUGGAAAAGUCUUCAGGUGGAAAGCAGAGAGAUGCCCACAGUCCCCAUGGAUGGGAACUGUCCACCACAGCUGCAGUGAUCUGUUCAGGGAAGGACACAUGAUUCAUUUGGGACCAAUGAGAGAGAGUGAAUUCCAGGGCUUGCUCUCUCGCUGAGUGAUGUGGUAUAAAGAUGUGAGGUCUGGAACAGCUGGAGCCAUUUUGCCACCAUGGGAAAGCCUGGAAUUUCUGGGCUGACUGCUUGAUGCACAAAGAGAAAGGCCUUAAGAAGGCAGAGAGGAGAGGGAGAGAAUCUAAGCCUUUGGAGACAGCUUUUGGAACUGCUGGAUUGAGUCUCACUUGAAGCCAGAAGUGAAUCUAGAUUUUUAAUCGACGUGCCUAAGAAAAAUUCCUUUAUCUUAUGAAUCAGUUUAAGACCAGAGAAUGGAGGCUCUGAAACGGUAAAUCUCUUACUGAAGGGCACACAGCCUGUGAGAGUGGAGCCAGGAUCCGUCCCAGGAAGAUUAGCCAUGAGCUAACAUCUGCUGCCAGUCCUCCUCAUUUUGCUGAGGAAGACUGGCCCUGAGCUAACAUCCAUGCCCAUCUUCCUCUACUUUAUAUGUGGGAUACCUACCACAGCAUGGCUUGUCAAGCGGUGCCAUGUCUGCACCCAGGAUCCGAACCGGCAAACCCUGGGCUGCCGAAGCGAACAUGUGCACUUAACUGCUGCAUCACUGGGCUGGCCCCUCAGUGCUGGAGAGGCCAGCACGCGACCGUGUCUGUGCUUCGAUCGACAGUCCCAGGCGAGCCCAGCCUUUCAGCCCUUCCUGCUAAGGUCCCAGACUCGUGAGUGAAGCUGUCUCGGGUCCUCCAGACAAGCCCAGCCACCAGCUGAGAACCACUGAGUGACUUCAGUUUAUGCCACAUGAAACAGAACCAAAGAAUCGCCAGCCAACCCUGCCCAAAUUCCUGACCCACAAAAGUGUAAGAUAGAAUAAAAUGGCUGUUUUAAAUCUCU